Molecule: ribosomal RNA, 1168 nt
Filed under: uncultured Prevotella sp.
Lineage: Bacteria; Pseudomonadati; Bacteroidota; Bacteroidia; Bacteroidales; Prevotellaceae
Description: bacterial SSU rRNA
Rfam family: Bacterial small subunit ribosomal RNA
Source: RNAcentral
CCAGACUCCUACGGGAGGCAGCAGUGAGGAAUAUUGGUCGAUGGGCGAGAGCCUGAACCAGCCAAGUAGCGUGCAGGAUGACGGCCCUAUGGGUUGUAAACUGCUUUUAUAAGGGAAUAAAGUGAGUCUCGUGAGACUUUUUGCAUGUACCUUAUGAAUAAGGACCGGCUAAUUCCGUGCCAGCAGCCGCGGUAAUACGGAAGGUCCGGGCGUUAUCCGGAUUUAUUGGGUUUAAAGGGAGCGUAGGCCGGAGAUUAAGCGUGUUGUGAAAUGUAGACGCUCAACGUCUGCACUGCAGCGCGAACUGGUUUCCUUGAGUACGCACAAAGUGGGCGGAAUUCGUGGUGUAGCGGUGAAAUGCUUAGAUAUCACGAAGAACUCCGAUUGCGAAGGCAGCUCACUGGAGCGCAAACUGACGCUGAAGCUCGAAAAGUGCGGGUAUCGAACAAGGAUUAGAUACCCUGGUAGUCCGCACGGUAAACGAUGGAUGCCCGCUGUUGGUCUGAAUAGGUCAGCGGCCAAGCGAAAGCAUUAAGCAUCCCCACCUGGGGAGUACGCCGGCAACGGUGAAACUCAAAGGAAUUGACGGGGGCCCGCACAAGCGGAGGAACAUGUGGUUUAAUUCGAUGAUACGCGAGGAACCUUACCCGGGCUUGAAUUGCAGAGGAAGGAUUUGGAGACAAUGACGCCCUUCGGGGCCUCUGUGAAGGUGCUGCAUGGUUGUCGUCAGCUCGUGCCGUGAGGUGUCGGCUUAAGUGCCAUAACGAGCGCAACCCCUCUCCUUAGUUGCCAUCAGUUGAAGCUGGGCACUCUGGGGACACUGCCACCGUAAGGUGUGAGGAAGGUGGGGAUGACGUCAAAUCAGCACGGCCCUUACGUCCGGGGCUACACACGUGUUACAAUGGCAGGUACAGAGAGACGGUCCCUUGCAAAACGGAUCAAAUCCUUAAAGCCUGUCUCAGUUCGGACUGGGGUCUGCAACCCGACCCCACGAAGCUGGAUUCGCUAGUAAUCGCGCAUCAGCCAUGGCGCGGUGAAUACGUUCCCGGGCCUUGUACACACCGCCCGUCAAGCCAUGAAAGCCGGGGGCGCCUAAAGUCCGUGACCGUAAGGAGCGGCCUAGGGCGAAACUGGUAAUUGGGGCUAAGUCGUAACAAGGUAGCCGUAG